AUUGAACGCUGGCGGCAGGCCUAACACAUGCAAGUCGAGCGGAGGAAGGGAGCUUGCUCCUGGAUUCAGCGGCGGACGGGUGAGUAAUGCCUAGGAAUCUGCCUGGUAGUGGGGGAUAACGUCCGGAAACGGGCGCUAAUACCGCAUACGUCCUGAGGGAGAAAGUGGGGGAUCUUCGGACCUCACGCUAUCAGAUGAGCCUAGGUCGGAUUAGCUAGUUGGUGGGGUAAAGGCCUACCAAGGCGACGAUCCGUAACUGGUCUGAGAGGAUGAUCAGGCACACUGGAACUGAAACACGGUCCAGACUCCUACGGGAGGCAGCAGUGGGGAAUAUUGGACAAUGGGCGAAAGCCUGAUCCAGCCAUGCCGCGUGUGUGAAGAAGGUCUUCGGAUUGUAAAGCACUUUAAGUUGGGAGGAAGGGCAGUAAGUUAAUACCUUGCUGUUUUGACGUUACCAACAGAAUAAGCACCGGCUAACUUCGUG
RNAcentral lists this ribosomal RNA (484 nucleotides) under uncultured bacterium. RNAcentral's name for it is "partial 16S ribosomal RNA". It matches the Rfam family "Bacterial small subunit ribosomal RNA", at positions 30 to 507 of the family's 1533-position model. The record is from RNAcentral.